This 932-nucleotide ribosomal RNA is filed under the name Enterobacter cloacae subsp. cloacae. RNAcentral describes it as "partial 23S ribosomal RNA". It matches the Rfam family "Bacterial large subunit ribosomal RNA", at positions 1 to 975 of the family's 2925-position model. The record is from RNAcentral. Lineage: Bacteria; Pseudomonadati; Pseudomonadota; Gammaproteobacteria; Enterobacterales; Enterobacteriaceae.
GGUUAAGCGACUAAGCGUACACGGUGGAUGCCCUGGCAGUCAGAGGCGAUGAAGGACGUGCUAAUCUGCGAAAAGCGCCGGCGAGGUGAUAUGAACCCUUGACCCGGCGAUGUCCGAAUGGGGAAACCCAGUGUGAUUCGUCACACUAUCGUUAACUGAAUACAUAGGUUAACGAGGCGAACCGGGGGAACUGAAACAUCUAAGUACCCCGAGGAAAAGAAAUCAACCGAGAUUCCCCCAGUAGCGGCGAGCGAACGGGGAGCAGCCCAGAGUCUGAAUCAGCUUGUGUGUUAGUGGAAGCGUCUGGAAAGUCGCACGGUACAGGGUGAAAGUCCCGUACACGAAAGCACACAGGCUGUGAACUCGAAGAGUAGGGCGGGACACGUGGUAUCCUGUCUGAAUAUGGGGGGACCAUCCUCCAAGGCUAAAUACUCCUGACUGACCGAUAGUGAACCAGUACCGUGAGGGAAAGGCGAAAAGAACCCCGGCGAGGGGAGUGAAAAAGAACCUGAAACCGUGUACGUACAAGCAGUGGGAGCACCUUCGUGGUGUGACUGCGUACCUUUUGUAUAAUGGGUCAGCGACUUAUAUUCUGUAGCAAGGUUAACCGUAUAGGGGAGCCGAAGGGAAACCGAGUCUUAACUGGGCGUUAAGUUGCAGGGUAUAGACCCGAAACCCGGUGAUCUAGCCAUGGGCAGGUUGAAGGUUGGGUAACACUAACUGGAGGACCGAACCGACUAAUGUUGAAAAAUUAGCGGAUGACCUGUGGCUGGGGGUGAAAGGCCAAUCAAACCGGGAGAUAGCUGGUUCUCCCCGAAAGCUAUUUAGGUAGCGCCUCGUGAACUCAUCUUCGGGGGUAGAGCACUGUUUCGGCUAGGGGGCCAUCCCGGCUUACCAACCCGAUGCAAACUACGAAUACCGAAGAAUGUUAU